CUGCUGCCUCCCGUAGGAGUCUGGGCCGUGUCUCAGUCCCAAUGUGGCCGUCCGCCCUCUCAGGCCGGCUACUGAUCGUCGCCUUGGUAGGCCGUUACCCUCCCAACCAGCUAAUCAGACGCGGGCCCAUCUUAUACCACCUCAGUUUUUCACACUGCGUCAUGCGCCGCUGUGCGCUUAUGCGGUAUUAGCAGCUGUUUCCAGCUGUUAUCCCCCUGUAUAAGGCAGGUUGCCCACGCGUUA
RNAcentral lists this ribosomal RNA (243 nucleotides) under uncultured bacterium. RNAcentral's name for it is "partial 16S ribosomal RNA". The record is from RNAcentral.